GACGAACGCUGGCGGCGUGCCUAAUACAUGCAAGUUGAGCGCUGAAGGUUGGUACUUGUACCAACUGGAUGAGCAGCGAACGGGUGAGUAACGCGUGGGGAAUCUGCCUUUGAGCGGGGGACAACAUUUGGAAACGAAUGCUAAUACCGCAUAAAAACUUUAAACACAAGUUUUAAGUUUGAAAGAUGCAAUUGCAUCACUCAAAGAUGAUCCCGCGUUGUAUUAGCUAGUUGGUGAGGUAAAGGCUCACCAAGGCGAUGAUACAUAGCCGACCUGAGAGGGUGAUCGGCCACAUUGGGACUGAGACACGGCCCAAACUCCUACGGGAGGCAGCAGGAGGGAAUCUUCGGGAAUGGACGAAAGGCUGACCGAGCAACGGCGCGUGAGGGAAGAAGGUUCUCGGAUCGUAAAACUCUGUUGGUAGGGAAGAACGUUGGUGAGAGUGGAAAGCUCAUCAAGUGACGGUAACUACCCAGAAAGGGACGGCUAACUACGUG
Molecule: ribosomal RNA, 497 nt
Filed under: uncultured bacterium
Lineage: Bacteria
Description: partial 16S ribosomal RNA
Rfam family: Bacterial small subunit ribosomal RNA
Source: RNAcentral